UAGGCGGCGAGUGAAGCGGCAAAAGCUCAAAUUUGAAAUCUGGCUCUUUCAGAGUCCGAGUUGUAAUUUGAAGAAGGUAUCUUUGGGUCUGGCUCUUGUCUAUGUUUCUUGGAACAGAACGUCACAGAGGGUGAGAAUCCCGUGCGAUGAGAUGAUCCAGGCCUAUGUAAAGUUCCUUCGAAGAGUCGAGUUGUUUGGGAAUGCAGCUCUAAGUGGGUGGUAAAUUCCAUCUAAAGCUAAAUAUUGGCGAGAGACCGAUAGCGAACAAGUACAGUGAUGGAAAGAUGAAAAGAACUUUGAAAAGAGAGUGAAAAAGUACGUGAAAUUGUUGAAAGGGAAGGGCUUGAGAUCAGACUUGGUAUUUUGUAUGUUACUUCUUCGGGGGUGGCCUCUACAGUUUAUCGGGCCAGCAUCAGUUUGGGCGGUAGGAGAAUUGCGUUGGAAUGUGGCACGGCUUCGGUUGUGUGUUAUAGCCUUCGUCGAUACUGCCAGCCUAGACUGAGGACUGCGGUUUAUACCUAGGAUGUUGGCAUAAUGAUCUUAAGUCGCCCGUCUUGAAACCACGGACC
Molecule: ribosomal RNA, 569 nt
Filed under: Candida tropicalis
Lineage: Eukaryota; Fungi; Ascomycota; Pichiomycetes; Serinales; Debaryomycetaceae
Description: eukaryotic LSU rRNA
Rfam family: Eukaryotic large subunit ribosomal RNA
Source: RNAcentral